This 654-nucleotide ribosomal RNA is filed under the name uncultured Methanosaeta sp. RNAcentral's name for it is "bacterial SSU rRNA". It matches the Rfam family "Archaeal small subunit ribosomal RNA", at positions 225 to 879 of the family's 1478-position model. The record is from RNAcentral. Lineage: Archaea; Methanobacteriati; Methanobacteriota; Methanomicrobia; Methanotrichales; Methanotrichaceae.
UCAGGUAGUAGUGGGUGUAGCGUACCUACUAGCCUACGACGGGUACGGGUUGUGAGAGCAAGAGCCCGGAGAUGGAUUCUGAGACACGAAUCCAGGCCCUACGGGGUGCAGCAGGCGCGAAAACUUUACAAUGCUGGAAACAGCGAUAAGGGGACCUCGAGUGCCAGGUUACAAAUCUGGCUGUCGUGAUGCCUAAAAAGCAUUGCAUAGCAAGGGCCGGGCAAGACCGGUGCCAGCCGCCGCGGUAACACCGGCGGCUCGAGUGGUAACCGUUAUUAUUGGGUCUAAAGGGUCUGUAGCCGGCCGGAUAAGUCUCUUGGGAAAUCUGGCAGCUUAACUGUCAGGCUUUCAGGGGAUACUGUCUGGCUCGAGGCCGGGAGAGGUGAGAGGUACUUCAGGGGUAGGGGUGAAAUCUUGUAAUCCUUGAAGGACCACCAGUGGCGAAGGCGUCUCACCAGAACGGACCUGACGGCAAGGGACGAAAGCUAGGGGCACGAACCGGAUUAGAUACCCGGGUAGUCCUAGCCGUAAACGAUACUCGCUAGGUGUCGGCCACGGUGCGACCGUUGUCGGUGCCGUAGGGAAGCCGUGAAGCGAGCCACCUGGGAAGUACGGCCGCAAGGCUGAAACUUAAAGGAAUUGGCGGGGGAGCAC